AAUUUACAUGUCCGCUGUAAAAUAAUGUGGAAAAACAUGUAACUGUGAAAAAACAUAACAUUUCCGUUUUUUUUAUUGGACUUAAUCACUACUCUGACUGUUCCGCUUGUCAAAGUAGUUCUGCUGCGUUCAAUGUUUCGUUUCGUAACGAAUUUCUUUUCAUAAUAUCAUCUCGUAAUAAUAUAAUCAUACAUUCUUUGUUGAAAUACGCGGACAUUUCAACACUGUAGAGUUUAAAUAUCGAAAUGAAGGAAUUCCCGCCCGGCGCAAGGAUACAGUCUCUUCAGCACACGGUGGAGCAGCGGAGCUGACUGGAGUCACUCGACCGUUAGGAUUGCUGCUGUUCGUAGACGUGAAGCGAAAAUAAGCAGAUGCCUUUUCAAGAUAAACCGCAAGGGAUCAAAAGCUGAGAAGAAACUUCAAGAAAGCAGAUGACGUUCAGUCCACAGCAUGUGUGUCAAACUCUGCUCCUGGGGGAUCACUGUCCUGCAAAAAUGCUCCAACCCGCUCCAGAACACCGGCCUUGGAAGUUUCUAGCAAUCCUAAAGACAUUGUUUAGCUGGUUCAGGUGUGUUUAAUUAGUUUCUAUAGGGCCACUGUCCUGCAGAGUUCAGCUCCAUCCCUGAGUUUGACACCCUUAUUCAAAAGGUUCUUACACUCUGAACUGAAACUGCAGACUAUGACUAGAAGACAUACAUGGAGAACAUUCUUCAAUCUCCCUCCAUUCACUUGCACAGAAAUUUGCAUCAGUGUCACACGGACUUUAAGAACACUCACUCUUUCCUGCUUUGUUUAAUUGUUUGUUUUUUAAUGACUCCUUGUAAUUCAUCUGUCGACCAGUGAUCAGGUUUUGAAGGCAGACUGUUUAAUUAUUAUUCCACUGUAACUUUUUUUUCUUUGUUGUAUCUGUAUAUUUAGUAUACUGCUGUAAUUGAAACCAUUACUAGUUUUGGCUUUUUAUAAAAUAAACUAAUAACAAACAUUA
Molecule: long non-coding RNA, 985 nt
Organism: Megalobrama amblycephala (Wuchang bream)
Lineage: Eukaryota; Metazoa; Chordata; Actinopteri; Cypriniformes; Xenocyprididae
Exons: 2
Source: RefSeq, a predicted model, not a curated record